This 32148-nucleotide long non-coding RNA is filed under the name Ananas comosus (pineapple). RNAcentral describes it as "long non-coding RNA (ACOM_LNC015030)". The record is from RNAcentral. Lineage: Eukaryota; Viridiplantae; Streptophyta; Magnoliopsida; Poales; Bromeliaceae.
UCUCAUUCCUCUCUACUUGAGCCAACAUAAGAAAAAUCUCUCUCUCUCUCUCUCUAGGAUUGGCUCCAAAGUGUGCAGUUUGGUAGAGAAAAGCUUGCUUAGAGAUGAAGCUUUCUUUUUCUUCUCCAUUGGCUUGAGAGAGCUUGGGUUUGAGAGGUAAGCUUUGAUAGCAACAAUGGUAGAUUGCUAAGUAGUGAUUUGUAUGCCUUAGAAAUGGGUUUAGUGAAACUCCUAGAUGCUAAAUAGAUGGUUGAUGCUCGAAUUUAGAGAUCAAAUGAUGAAUUCUUGCAUAGUUGCAUCUUAGGGCAUCAAAAGAGGGGUUUUUGCUUGUGAGGGGUUUUGAUCUAAAUUGAUCAUGUAUAAACCUAAUUGCUAGGUAAACGAACGCGUUGGCGAAGUCGGUUCGGCAAUUCGUCGAGCCUACGCGAAGUUAUUAAAGAAACGGACGUUUAGGAUUCGUUUCCGCCUGGAGGGCCGAGGCGACGUCGUAAAAUCAUGGAAUCGGAUUUGAGGCACUGUAAUAGCAAAACGAAGACCCUUUUUGCCCGAGGCUGCGAAGCGAUGCGCGGUUGGUGCGCAAUUGCAAGUUCCGACGGAACCGAGCACCGGAUGCGGCGGGAGGCCGAUUGCAAGUGUCGACAAGCAAUCGGAAUGCACUAACAGGUGGGUUGUGCUCACCGAAGUUAUUAGCUCACUUCCAUGUCGAAGUGAAAGUGUAAUUCUCGUUGAUGCAUAUAAUGUAAAUGCUAAAUGAUGCAUAUGAUGUAAAUACUUGAUGAUGCAUAUAAUGUAAAUGCAUGAUGACAUGAGGCAUAUACUAAAUGAUGUUGACAUAUCACGAGAUGCUAGUUGAUAUAUAUACAUGAUAGGGUAUUGGAUAGUCGCAUUUCUAUUCUUGCAUGAUCCAUAGUAGUGUAGCAACAUGAGUUGGCACUUGAGUUAGGAUGCAUGAGAAUAGAGGAAUGGUGACAUAGAACCCUAUAGAGAUAAGUUAAACAAUAACUUGAUCUUGUAUUGAUGAAUAUGAUGAUAUAUGACUAGUAUAGUCGAGCCAUUGCAUCGUGACGAGUGGCAUGUGAAUCAAGUAAACAACUUGACGAGUGGCAUUAGAACUUAGUGUUAAAAGAACACUUGUGACAUGAUGACUCAGGGGAUAGAUGAGUCUCCCUAUUUGAUACCUUGCAUGAGAUCGGUGUGACAUUGAUGACCCUAGAGACAGGGUAUCCUCAGUGCACGAGGAUUGGAUCAUACUCACAUUGUCUGUUCAGCGCUUGUGGCGGUCGCCCCGCACAAGUAGUGCGAGCUCCGGAGUCUUGUCACAUGAAACGAUUGGGAUAGCCUAUGUGGGGUCCCAAGGGAUAGCCUAUGUGGGGUCCCGCAGACAGUCCCUCGGGAGUUCGAGUCCCCUUCCAUAGACGGAUUUGAGAUGUGAGUUGAGGGCGCGCUUAUGGGCCAGCCAGAGGAUUGGGUAAUAAACUCAUGAGAAUUAUGCAUAUUGAGCAUAGUAAGCAUAUUGAGCAUGUUGAGCAUGUUGGGCAUAGUAGAAUUGCAUGUAAACUUGAUAGAGUUAUUAUAACAUGUUAGAUAUUACAUGGCUAUGUGAUUUACUCUUGUUCUCCAGGCAUAGUAGAAUCUUGCAAUUCUUUCUAUAUGCAUCCCCAGUAGAGUGGAUAUUAGGCUGAGGCGCAAGUGAAACGUCCUUUGUCUUGAGCCUGAUUUUGUGCGGUAAUCUGCGGAUGAUUGACUUAAGACCGAGUCGGGUGGAUAGCUUCGUAAAGGUAGAUAAAAACCUUGUGAGCAACAGUAAAGGUCAAUGAAACCUUAUGAUCAGAAUGGUAAUUGACAAGAAUCUAAAAUAGAGGAAAACUUAGAAGUCAAUUGGACGAGCUAUGGAUAGCAGGAUUGAAAGUAGUAUCAAUUAAACUACUAGUUGGCUAUAUAGUUGCAUUAUUGCAUGAUUUUCAUAUUGCAUAUUGCGAGGCAUGUUAUUUGUUAGUUGCAUAAAUACAUGACGAUAUAUAUAUCUGUGGAUGUUUUUGGACUAACAUAUUGCAGUGUCUCCUUCGGACCUGGUAGGUCGAGCUCUUCCCUUGGGUGGCCGUACCCACUGGGAAUUAUAUUUAUAUAGUUCUCACCCCCGUGUGGUUUUGGCGGUUACAGGUUCGCACGUGAGCGGCGCGGUGGCGCAAGGAGAGGGCGUAGCUCCGUAGAUAGCGCCUUACCACCAAGACCAGAGAUAGUGGUACCCGAGUCAGCCAAGCUAGGGGCUGUAGAAAAGAAAAAGAUUCAAAGUUGUAAUAAUCUGGUGAUAAUUGAUUGUAUUCGAAAGUUGAAUGUAAUUUUUAAGAAAGGAAAUGUAUAACUUUCAAAUGAGAUGAAUGCUUGUAAUAACAUUGGAUGUGUUAUGUUUUUGAUAUUUUCUUUUGCAAUCUAUGAUUGAAUACUGUUCCUGGUUGGAACCACUUGUAUUGUUUUGAUUGCGACGCCUAGGACGUACAGGGGAAACUCUGUCCGUUCGGCGGUCUGUCGGCGUGCCCGAACCUGACCAAAUAGGCGGGGCGCGGGGCGUGACACAUAGAGAGCCUCAAAUGGUGCCAUCUCUAUACUAGCUUGGUAACUAUUGUUGUAUGCGAACUCGGCCAUUAGCAAGUGACCACUCUAACUACCCUUGUAGUCAAUGACAUACGCUCGCAACAUAUCCUCCAAAACCUGAAUGGUUCUCUUUGAUUGCCCGUCGGUUUGAGGAUGAAAAGCGGUGCUAAACUCGAGCCGUGUGCCAAGUGCCUCUUGCAAGCUCUUCCAAAAGUACGAAGUAAACCGAGAGUCUCGAUCCGACACGAUCGACUUCGGAACCCCGUGCAACCUCACCACUUCAUCAAGAUAUACCUGAGCAAGCUUGUCACCUGACCAUAUAGUGUGGAUCGGUAGAAAAUGUGCUUACUUCGUCAAACGGUCCACCACUACCCAAAUCGCAUCGUGGCAACCCGACGAACGGGGCAAUUGGACCACGAAGUCCAUGGCAAUAUCCUCCCGUUUCCAAACGGGGAUAGGUAGGCUUUGAAGCUUUCCCGCUGAAAAUCGGCGCUCCGCCUUGACUUGUUGGCAAACAAGACAUUGCGCCACAGAGCGUCCAAUAUCACCUUUCAUUCCCGGCCACCAGUAAAGCAUCUUUAAAUCUUGGUACAUCUUGGUGCCGCCCGGGUGGACACUAUAGGGAGACCGAUGCGCAUCUUGCAAAACCAUUUUUUGGACUUCAUCAUUUUCCGGCACACACCACCGGUUCCGGUAUCGAAGCGUGCCAUCGGCAUCUAUACUGAAAUCACCGCCACGCCCACCCUCGAUGUCGCGCCGCACCUUUUCAAGAUUCGGGUCCGCAGAUUGCAAACUCUUGAUUCUCUCCAACAAGGUCGGUUGGACAACGAGAGCCGACAGUAUAGUCAGUACCUACGGAGCUACAACCUCAAGAUCUAUUCGCCCCAUUUCUUUCCACAGGGCCUCCUGAUUUGUGACCCAUAGCGCGAGGUUCUCCGUCGACUUUGGAUCUAAAAGGUAAGUAACACCUAGAGGGGGGUGAAUAGGUGUAAAAACGGCAAACUCGAAAAUCUCGAUGUAAAUAAAACAAAGUAGCGAAAAAUAAAAAUAGCACACUGAGAAUUUAACGUGGGAAAACUCCAAACGGAGUGAAAAAACCCACGGGAUCGAUCACGCGAAGAAAAUCCACUAAGAAAACUUGAGUACAAGUGAUUUUGACAAAAAUACACGACUCAAUUUACCGAAUUCCCGUUGAUGGUGAUCUUCGCCGGUCCUCGAUCGAUAGGAAUCCUCCAACCGAUCCUGCUGUAACUCCUUGCAACGUCAACGCCUCAACUCCUCGAAGCGUUCACCGAAUCCUCGGCUUCACGCGAGAUCCACGCGCCAAACCUCCUUCCGGAGCUUGUAGAAUCGAAGAUUUGUGGUGAUUUAAUCUUUGAAUCCCAUAAGCUAUGAGAGUUUGUCUUCUAAUCAAACAUCAACUUGAUUCUCGAAGAAGAUCUCAAGUAAAAUCGAAGAACCAAGUCGAUUGUUGAUUUUUUGAAACUCGUUAUGAGAAUAGAAGCAUUGAAAUGGAAAAAAUAAGUUUCUAGGGUUUAGAAUCAGUAAAUAUUCAAAGCCUUAGAUUUUUAGAUGACCCCCAUAGCUUAUUUAUAUGUUUAGAAGACUUAGAAGUAGACUAGGAUUGCAAAAAGUCCUUUUUAAAAAGCUGUGUCGUCCUCAGAGACCGGUCCUCUUGAGGAGACCGGUCUGUGAGAGACUGGUCUCUCAAGUGAGGAACUGGUCCCUCGCUGCGUGUUCAAAAACACAACGUUCGGGAACCGGUCUCUCAAGCUUGAGACCGGUCCCUCGCUGCGCGACAGAAUUACCAAGGUUCGAGAAUCGGUCUCUCAUCUCAGGGGACCGGUUGCAUCAAAACUCAUGCAGUGAGGACCUUAGGGGAACCGGUCUCUCCAACUCAAGGACCGGUCCCAGAACACAGAAAAGUUCAGUAAAAUAGUUUUAAAGCAAUCUAAGCCUUCUGAACUUAUUCUAGUUAAGUAUCUUCACCACAAAUGAACUUUUCUUCAUACCUUAGGUGCCGAAUUAUACGAAUGAAUCUUUGUUCUUCAAUUUGGAUCUUUUCUUCAAAACUUCCGUGAUCAACUCUUCAAGACUCUAAUCUACUUUACGAAAUUCGCAAACCUAUAAAAUCCUUAACAUCUGCUAAGUGCAUCAGCUACUACAUUUGCUUUUUCGUGGUGAUAGAGUAUAAUAACAUCAUAAUCCUUUAGCAGCUCUAACCACCGCUGUUGCCUCAUAUUAAGCUCCUUCUGUGUAAACAAUUACUUCAGACUUUUGUGGUCCGUGUAUAUCUCGCAAUGCGCAUCGUACAAGUAGUGUCUCCACAGCUUUAAAGUGAAGAUCACUGGGCCAACUCCAAAUCGUGGAUAGGGUAGUUCUUUUCAUAGCUUUUUAACUGACGGGACGCAUAAGCGAUCACCUUCCCGCCAUGCAUUAGAAAACAUCCCAAACCCAAAUAGGAAGCAUCGCUAUACACCACAAAGUCCUCACCUUGCACCGGUAGGGCGAGCACCGGAGUCGAAGUCAGCAUCUCCUUCAACUCCUUGAAACUCCGGUCGAGAAUUCCUUUAUGAACCGUCUAUAAUAGCCCGCUAAACCCACGAAGCUACGGAUUUCCGUCACAUUAGUCGGGCGAGGCCAAUCCUUGAUCGCCUCAACUUAUUUCGGGUCAACAGAAACUCCACCAUCGAAAAUGACAUGUCCCAAAAAUGCGACUUCACGGAGCCAAAAGUCACAUUUCUCCAACUUCGCAUAAAGUUUCUCCUCCUGUAGGACUUGUAGCACUAGCCUCAAAUGCUCUGCGUGCUCCUCGUCACUACAAGAGUAGACCGAGAUGUCGUCUAUGAAGACUACAACAAAUCGAUCUAUGUAAGCCCGGAAAAUACGGUUCAUCAAAUCCAUGAAUGCUGCCGGAGCAUUUGUGCGCCAAAACGGCAUGACCGUGAACUCGUAGUGUCCAUAUCGUGUGCGAAACGCGGUCUUUUGCACAUCCUCCGGCUAUAUCUUAAACUGAUGGUAGCCAGACUGAAGGUCUAUCUUCGAGUAUACUCGCGACCCCUGCAAUUGAUCAAACAAGUCGUCGAUACGGGGCAACGGGUACUUAUUCUUGAUAGUGACCUUGUUCAACUCGUGGUAAUCCACGCAGAGUCGAAACGAUCCAUCUUUCUUCCUCACAAACAGAACCGGGGCUCCCCAUGGCGACACACUCGGCCUAAUAAAUUUCUUGUCGAGGAGAUCUUGCAACUGAGCCCUCAACUACUUCAACUCUGCCGGUGCCAUACGGUACGGAGCCUUCGAAAUCGACGCGGUCCCGGGAAUCAAGUCUAUAACGAACUCGAUCUCCCGAUCCGGCGGUAUCCUCGGUAACACCGCGGAAAACACAUUCGGAAACUCCCGGAUCACUGACAUACUCUCAAGUGCUGGAGUCUCCCGAUCAAUCUCCACAACGGUCGCUAAAUAAGCUGCGUAAUUGCCGCUAACCAUCUUCCUCCCUCUAGACGCUGACACCGUCAUGGCGAAGCACGGGCUUUUGCACGCUCGAUAGGUGAACUCCUUCUGUCCUUGCUCACGAAAAGUUAUCACCCUGCUCUUGCAGUCGAUAGACACAUAGUACUUCGAGAGCCAGUCCAUGCCAAAAAUCAGAUCAAAAUCCUUCAACCUCUUCAGCACCAAUAAGCGCAUCGGCAUAAUCCAGUUGCCCACUUGCACCAGACACGCCAAACACUCCUUCCGAAUAACAAAUGCACGCCCGGGGCCCUCUACUAGCCAAGUGCUCUCACUCAACUGAAUGCCUAUGUCAUGCAUUUGUACAAAUGACCUACUGAUGAAUGAAUGCGUAGCACCUGUAUCAAACAUAACCCUGGAGCGAACUCCGUUAACCAAAACCAUACCUACCAAGACGUUGCGCUCCUCGGCCUCAGCAGGUUCCUCGGCUUGAGCGACGAAUACUCGUCCCCUCGAAGCCGACCGGAUCACCUCAGGCUGACGCAGCGCCAUAGCGCGUCCAGCAGACACGGCAGUAGGUGGAUGUAACACACUGAACUUUAGCAAAUUGUAAGGUUCGAUUGUUUGAUCUAUGUUCUGAGUUUUUUCAGGUAUUCUGAAAGGUCAUAGACAGUGUUCCGACCUAUGACUCGCAUCUCGAGGAGCGAGGAUGGAAACUUAGUGUAAGGAAGUGAAUUCUCGAAAUCCGAAAGUUGUACUUCAUUCAGGAUCGACUAAUUGUCGAGUGAGUAUCCUUUGGGAAAGCUAAAGUUAUCCAAAACACAAAAAGUGCAUUGGAGUUGAGUCCGCGAGAGCAUAUAGUGCAAAACCUGCACUGGGCUGAAGUUGCUCUCGGGGACUGGUCCCUGGCAGGGAGAGACCGGUCCCUGAGGCUGGUGGUUGCUGGGGAUCUUUGAUGCAACCGGUCCCUGGCUGAGAGGACCGGUCCCCGUGUGCGACGCCAGCGAGAGAAGGCCAAAAAUCGGCUAAGUCUUGAAAAUCGAGCUCUCGGGGACCAGUCUCUUAGGCGAGGACCGGUCUCCCGAGGACCGGUCUCCCAGGGAAAGACCGGUUCCCGAACGCGAAGAGGCCUUCUGGCUGCCAGGACUGCUGUCGGGGACCGGUCUCCCCGACGAGGGACCGAUCUCUCUGGGCGCAGAAUGCCCAGUGAGGGCUGUGUACAGGGUGAAAAGUUGAGGGGCUAAAAUGGAUUUUGUUACAAUAGAGGGGUAUGUAGGCCCUCUCUCUCUCCCUCAGCCUCUCAUUCUCUCUCUCUCUCUCACACUCUCUCUUACUCCCUCUCUCUCUAGGAAAGAAAGAACAAAGAGAAGGAGAAGAAGGAAGAGAAGAAGAAGAAGGAGAAGAAGAAGGAGGAGAUCAAGUUAGAGAAGGCUUGGAGCAUCUUCCUCUCUUCCUCUCCUCUCCAUUGGUGUAGCUCAAGAGGUAAGCUACAAACCCUAGCUCGUAGAACUUAGGGUUUUUGGAUUUUGAGCUUUGAGAUGAGGUCAAAUGGACUUCUAGCACCAUUGUUGGUGGAUUAGAGCUAGAGGCUAGGGUUUCAUGAUGCAAAUAGCAUGAUGCUAACCCUAGGGCACCCAAAAUGGGAUUUUUGGAAAUGGAUGAGAUUGAUCUCAUUUGAGGCCUUGUAAACCUAAUUGCUAGGUGUCCAAACGCGUUGGCGGAGUUGGAAUUAUGAUUCGUCGAGCGGGUGUAGAGCUAUCGGCAAAGUAGGGCCGACCUAGCUUCGUUUCUCCCAAAGAGGCGGGGAACACGUGGUUUGAAGUGCCGAGGAACACUUCUGGAACCUCCACAAUGAACAUUGACUACACAAGGUGGGGGGUGUCAUCUCGAAGCAACCGAACUCCUUUCUAUGUCUUAGAUUAACAUACUGCAUUGUAGGAUUGCAUAGUAGUACCAUUCCUUAUGCUUUCUAAUUGAUAACCUAGUAUACUUGGAACGCUUGGUGAUUUAGAUAGGUGAGGAUUGGGUCGGAACAUGGAUCCUAUAGUGCUAAAGAAAUGAGAUGAACACGAUGGGUGUUGAUGACAUAGAAAGUGGUGUUUAAAUGCUAAAGAACAAACGAGUGGCAUCCAAAUGUUAAAGAAUAACGAGUGGCAUUAAUGUAGUGUAAAUGACACUAGAGGUUUGAGAACCUAGGGAUAGAUAGAUCCCUUAGAAAAUGCCUUGGGGACAAAAAACUUAGUAAACCUAAGUACCCUCACAUGGAGAGGUUAUCGAUGAUUGAUUGAGAUAUUGACCCUAGUUAUAGGGCAUCCUCACUUGGAGAGGAUUUGAUUGGGUUGUUAACCCUAGUUGUAGGGUAUCCUCACUCGCAGAGGAUAGAUCUAGCUCACAGUCUACUUUUGGGGUGGUAUAGCCAUCCAUAUCCCCACAUGGAGGGGAUUGUCGUCGAGUACUCCGGAUUGUCGGGUGAUUUGGACCACUUGGAGGUCCGGACCACAUGGAGGUCCGCAGACGGUCCCGGGUCUGGGAGCACAUGGAGCUCCCCACCCAAUGGGAUGGCAAGGUGAGUCGAGGGCGAACCCAAGGGCUUCGCCACAGAUUGGGUAAAUGAACAGUUAACAAUGUCAUUGAAUAUUAUUAUUCGAACAUGGAUCGAACUUGUUAGCAUGGUAGUAAACCUUUACUAUAUGAUGCAUGCAUUCAUUAUACAUGAUUAUGGGUAUAGUAGCAUAGUUUUCCUUUAUGCCUUUUACAACUUUUAGAUAUCUAUCUAUCUGUCUACUUGUUGUUACUUGUGCCCACUUGGACCUAGUGGGGAGACCGGCAGAGUCGGCGGUCGAGCCCACUGGGAACUAUGGAAGAUAGUUCUCAUCCCACUCUAUUUCCAGUGGUAGGUACAGGUUUACCAAGCGAGGACCGCGACAAGGGCAUCGCGCCCAAUGAGUGAGACCGUGGUAGUAUAAUAGCUUUCCUUUUUGCAUUAGCACACCUAUGUAUUGAGAGAGAUUCAUAUAGGUGAGGAUUUGGAGAGCUAUGUAUUUUGAAUGAACAUAUGUAUUCAUUUUGAGGAAAAGAUGUACAUGUAAAAGAUGCAAACUAUUGCAAUAGUUAGUAAAAUAUUAUCUUUAUUUCACUUGUUUUCACUUGUGGAUUACUUGCUCUUAGUUGUUGGCACUACUUGUACCCCGUUGAAUGUGUAUGUUUAGAAUUUAAAUUUUCUGGGUAAAUUCUUGUACACAUUCCUGUUGUUGAGCCUUGUGCGGACAAGGGAGGUGCUCUCCGUUCGGCUUGUGGUUACUUGCUCUUAGUUGUUGGCACUACUUGUACCCCGUUGAAUGUGUAUGUUUAGAAUUUAAAUUUUCUGGGUAAAUUCUUGAACACAUUCCUCUUGUUGAGCCUUGUGCGGACAGGGGAGGUGCUGUCCGUUCGGCGGUCCGCCCGGCGGGCCCGAAUCGUGCCAAAUUGGUAGCGGUUUCGGGGCGGGGCGUGACACUUAGCACCAAACCUCUAAAGUGCAGGAAAUUGGGCUGCUCUCGGGUUUGCCUCUGUAGGGCUGAGUACCGGUAUUGCUUUGAAUUGGUACCGAAACUGGAGCUGGUACCAGUACUGCAUCGGGUUGGUACCGGUACCCUAUGCAUUUUCUCGCCAACCCGAAGCUCGGGUUUGCGCACACUGUGGCUUGGUACCGGUACUCUUUCCCGCGUACCGGCACGCAGUGCAGACUGCAGUUUGGCAGUUUUUGAGGGCUCUUUUUGUUAUUGUUACAAUACCUUAUAUACACCCUCACCCCUUAGACAGGGGCUUUUGUGUUGCGACCAGAGGAGAGCGAGGUGAGCUCCUCUCCAUUCUUUCUUGGUUUUUCUUCCCUUUUUUGCUUUAUUUGAUCUUCUCUCUUUGCUCCUUUUUGCUUCAUGUUGAUUUUCCACCAUUGGAGAAGCUUUGGAUUGGUGUUUGGAGCUUGUUAGAGGAAGGAUCUUCAACCUCAGCACCUUUCAAGCUUGGUUUGGAGCUUGUGAAGAGGUUAGUACCUUAGAUCUUCUCUUUAGAUAAAGUUUCUUGUGGAUUUUGAGAUGAAACCCUAGAAAUGGGAAAACUAGGGUUUAUUUGGGGAUUCUGAAGGGUCAUAGACAGUUUUGUUGAUGAUUUUCGAGUUUGAAUUUCAAUCUUUUGAUGCAUAAACAAAGGGGAGAGAUUUUCAUUUUCAUAUUUUUUUUACUACUAACUUUGUUUGUUAACUUUGUUCAUGGAGAAAGUAAUCUUUUUGCAGAUCAUUGAAAACUUCAAGACUCCUAGUUUUGUCUAAGUCAUAAAGUUUGUGUAGGAGUUGCAAAAUUGUAAUUUUGUAUUUGUUUGGAUCUUUCACGCGAGAAGUUCAUUGAUUUGGUGAUGUCAAUGAAUUUCAUUUUUGAGAGGUGAGCGUUGUGAGUAUUUUGAUGUAAUUUUGAGUUUUGUCACGAAAUUGCCAAAUAGGGAGAUUGUUACGGAUUUUAUGUUAGCAUAUUUCGUGAAGUUAGUCCGGAGUCUAGAAGGUUUAAAGAAGGAAAGAUGAAGAUCGAAGACUCGAUGACUUAAAACAUAAAUCCACAAUGCUCGAUAAGUUAAAAUACUAUUGUUGAUGAUUUAUAAAUAUUAACAAGUGUUUGGAAGACUUAGGAUGGGUUUUAAAAUGAAUUGGACUAAAUUGAACCUGUCAAGGUUCAGGGACCGGUCCUUGAUUAGAGGGACAAGACCCUAAGGUUCUCUCUGCGUAAAGAAACGAUGCAACCGGUCUUUGAGAUGAGAGACCGGUCCCCGUAGCAAGGUUUUUUGGCUACGCAACGAGAGACCGGUCCUUGAGAUGAGAGACCGGUUUCCGUGGCAUGUGUUUUUCUUCUACGCAAUGAGGGACCGAUCCCUGGCUUGAAGGACCGGACCCUGAGAGACCGGACCCCUCGAGAGGACCGGUCCCUGAAACCGUAACUGUUUCCAAAAUUGAGUAUUUACAAUCCUAGUCUACUUCUAAAUCUUCUAAACCUAUAAAUAGGAUGUGGGGGUGUUUCUAAAAGAUGGCUAAGCAUAGAAUAUCUUUUUGAAACCCUAGAAACUUGUUGGGUGCUUUCUUUCUUCUCUCCAACAACAAGUUUCUAUUGGAUCUGUAACAUACCAGAUUUUGGUAUAAAAAUAAAAAUAAAUAAAAAUAGUGUGAGAUACUAUUUUUAUUGAAUUUAGAGAAGUAAAAUAUAAGUCAGAAGCGACUUGUGCUGAAAUCGGAAUGAAAACAGAAGAUCUAGAAUUUUUUGUUGAAAACGGGACAGAUAAAUUAGCAGAAAUGCAUAGUGUCAGAAAAUUAUGAAAACUGGAGGGUAAGUCAGAAUUAUUUUUAUGAGGCUAGAUUUAAAGUUUCAUGUCAUUCUGUCACCCAGAAGGUGAAAAAUAAAAUCCGACAGCUAUCUGAUAAAGAUUACAGUUCGGUACAAUUUUCAGUGACCAAACGGGGUCGAAACUGAAAACUUAAGAUAUAUUCUUACUCAGUACGUUAAACCGAGCAUGCCUGUCAAAUUUGAGCCGAAACGGACAUUCAAAAGGGCUCCGACUUUUGCGAACUGCUAAACUGCCCGGGAUGAAUAGUGUUUGAGGGGUUAUUAUGAAGAAGCUGUUGCUUCUUCUUCUUCUUCGGCCGCACACCACACACGCACACGACCCACAUACACCCGCAUGGAAAGGGAAAGAGAGAACCCUCCCUUUCUCUCUCUAAAUCUCUCCCAAAUUAAAGGAAUUGGUGGAGAUUGAAGCUUGGAGGAAGGUCAUCUUCUUCAUCUUCCUCUUUAGCCAUUGGAGAGCAAACUUUGAUGGUAAGCUUUAAGAGUUUUAAUGGCAUCUCUCUCUAGUUUGGGUUUUAAGCUCCAAGAAUGGAUUUAGAGCUAUUCUAGCAUGCUAAAUAGAUGAUUGUUGCUCAAAUCAUGGAUCAAUUUAGUGAUUUCUUGCCUAGUUGUAAACCUAGGGCUUGAAAUGAGCUUCUUGAACCCUCUCAUGGUAGAUCUUUAGAGCCUUAAUUAUAUGCUCUANAUAGUUUAACCAAGAGUGGCAUUGAGACAAGAAUGGCCUAGAAAGUGGCAUGAACAAAUAGGUAGAAAACCUAUCAUAAAAGUGGCAUUGUGACUAGUGGCUAAGUAUCCUCAUGUUGGGGAUUCGAUCGAUACUCAUGAUAAGUCUUGGCUUGAGGGUGGUAGCUCCCCCUCAAGCGGUGAGUUUCCGAAAAUAGUCACCUCGGGGAGCGAGGUCCCCGUAGACGGUCCCUUGGGUCGGUAGUGCUUGGAGCCUCCCCGGUUAAAGGGAUUUGGGUUAUGAGUUAUUGGGGUUAAUAAGGUUAACCGGUAAGAUUGGGUCAAAGCCAAGUAAGAGUUACUUUUCAAAGAAUAUACGCACUACAAUGUGAUUGACUCGAGAUCGAGUUGGGUGGUUAGCUUGGCUAGGAUAGAGAGGAAAACCUUAGGAGCAAAUAACCAAUGAUGUAAAGUGACAAGAUGUAUAAAUUAUGGAAAAGCUAUAGAUAGCAUGAUAGAAACUAAAAUCAUUUAUUUUACUUGUAUAGUUGCAUGGUUUCAUAUUACAUAUUGCGAGGCAAGACAUGUAGUUCAAUAUCGAAUAAAUGUUUAAGUAUUUGUUAUAUGUUAUUGGACUAACCUGUUGCAGUGCCUCAUUAGACCUAUUGGUUGAGCUUUUCCCUUGGGUGGCCGUACCCACUGGGAACCAUAGAGUUGGUUCUCACCCCACGUUGUUUUGGGGUGUUACAGGUUCACACGUGAGCGCGCAGUGGCGCGAGGCGAGGGCGUAGCUCUGUAGUUAGCGCCCUACCAUCGAGACCAGAGAUAGUGGUACCCUGAGUCGGCCUUACUUAGGGAUGUAAGGAAAUGAAAAGAAUCAAGUUGUAAUAAUAUUGUUAAAGCUAGAUUGUAUUUGGAAGCUAAAAAGAAUGUAAUAUGUAAUUGUGAUGUAAAAUGUAUCUAGUGAAUGUGAAUGCUUGUAAUAACAAGUAGAUUAUGUCUUGAUAUUUUCUUAUGCAAUCUUUGAUUGAAAUGUAUUCCUAGUUGGAACUUCAUAUAUUGUAUUGAUUGCGACGCCUUGAAUGUACAGGGGAGACUCUGUCAGCGGUACAGGAAAAACUCUGUCCAUUCGGCGGUCUGUCGGCGGCGCCGCAACCCGGCCAAAUAGGUGGGUGGUCGCGGGUUGUGACAGGAUCAAUUCUUGAAACCCUAAUUUCUUGUUCUUCAUGGAGAAUUGAUCCGACUAUUGCUUAGAAACACCUUCUACGAUUUUUUAAUAAUUAUCUAAGCAAUAAAACAUCAUCGAUCGUAUUGUUCUUGCUCUGGACGGAGUGUGCUCGUGGAUUCGAGUGGGCGUCGUGGAUUCGGCGUGAUCAAGGCUUCGUGGAUUCGAAGUGUGGAGUUUCAUGGAUUCGGGACGUGGCGUUCAUGGAUUCGGACGUGGGGCGUGGACAACCCGUUGGUGUGCGCGAGAUCCGGAGAAGAUAAAAGAGAGGUUUGAAUCCGUGGAUUCGGUAAAUCAUCUUGUAAUCUUUUAUUCUUAGUGGAUUGUUAUCGCGUGUUGGUCCCGUGGGUUGUUUACUCAAAGUUGGAGUUUUUCCAUGUAAAUCUCGGUGUGAUUUUCACUUUUUGCAUUUAUUUUUAUCGCAUUGAGAUUUGUGGUUUUUGGCCAUUACACCUAUUCACCCCCCUCUAGGUGUUAGAUACAAUCUAGAUAGAUCCUUGGGCUCCCUCAAAACUUACAAUUGGUAGCAGAGCGGGAUCUAGAUAAAUUGUUAUCUAAUGGCCGAAGGCGGAAACAUUAAUCGACCACCGCUCUUCGAUGGCACGAAUUAUGCCUAUUGGAAAGCUCGCAUGAGAGCUUUUCUAAUCGCAAUCGAUGAGCAUGUUUGGCAAUCAAUAAAAUUUGGAUGGAAACAUCCUAUUGAAAAGGUCGAGAAUGUUGAAACGCCGAAACCACAGAAUAAGUGGACGAAGGAUGAAAACGAGUUAUCUUCGUUUAAUGGUAAGGGCGUAAACACUUUAUUUAAUGCAUUGUCUCAAAUGGAGUUUACUCGUGUUUCGGCGUGUAAUACCGCCAAAGAAAUUUGGGAUACUCUACAAAUUACACAUGAGGGUACAAGUCUAGUAAAAAUUCAAAAGCUCAAGAUGUUGACUAGUCAAUUUGAUUCGAUUCGUAUGAUGGAGCAUGAAUCUUUUACCGAUUAUUAUACUAGACUUCAAGACAUAAUCAAUACAUGUGCUAAUUUGGGAGAGAAGAUCCCGGAUUCUAAAAUUAUUAGAAAAAUUCUUCAGAUUCUUCCGGAAUGCUUUCGGGCAAAAGUUGCCGCAAUUGAAACCGUAAAGCAUCCGGACGAGAUGAAAAUAAAAGAGUUAGUAGGUGCUUUGCAAACUUAUAAGAUGACUUUUCCUACUAACCAAUCUUCUUCCAAGUCUACAAAGGAAGAAGACGACUCGAAUUCCGACGGAGAUAUUUUGCUCGCUGAUUUUGAACAUCAACUGACGCUCUUAACGAAGAAAUUUCGACGGAACUUUCGGAAAAACAAAGCUUCAUCCUCGAAACAAACAUCAUUUUCUAAACAAUCUUCGAGUUCUAAAAUGAAAGACAAAAAACUUGCAAAACCUUCUAAAGAAAAAGAUGAGUUUGAAGGGGAAAUUCAAUGUUAAAAAUGCAAAGGCUACGGCCAUAUUUCUACGGAUUGUCCUACUAAGAUAUCAUAUAAGAAGAAGGCUUUGCAAGUGAGAACUUGGGACGAUUCUACCUCUAAUGAAUCGAGUUCAAGUGAAGAGGAGAAAAUUAAUGUUGCUUUAUGCUCUCAAUCUUCUAUACCUCCCUCUUCAACUUUUUGUUUAUCAUCUAUUAUUUUUGACUCUUUUGUUUCCCCUUCCUUGCAUGGAAUGUCGAGCGAUGAUGGCGAGAGAGAGGGGGAGUCGGAUGAUGAAAGCUUGGCCGAGGCAUACCAACAACUUCUCGAAGAAUCAAAGAAGAUGGCCAAGCACAACAAAAGGCUAAGAAAACGACAACUUGAGCUUGAAGAUGAGAACACUGACUUGAAGAAUGCAUCUAAAACUCUUGAGGAGGAAAGGGAGCAAGUAUUGAAUAAUAAUACAAUUCUCCAAGAGAAGCUCAACCAAUCGGAGAUAACGAUCAAAUCACAUCAAGAAAAGGUUGGUUUUCUAGAACAACAAUAUGAAGAAAUUCGUUCAUCCAAUCAAGUUUUGACCAAACAAGUUUAUCAACUUAAAUCCGACAUUCAAAAGUUUUUCUCCGGUUCGAAAAAGCUAGACCAUAUGCUCGAAUUGGGUCAAACGGAUAAACUGGGACUUGGUUAUAAAAGGACUUAUGUUGAGAAGGAUCAAAAGGCAAUUCGUAAAGUCUCAACAAAUUUGAAAGAGAAAAUUUGCCAUAGAUGUGGUAGUAAAGGACACAUCAAGAAGACAUGCCCUAGAAAAGAAAAGAAACAUCAACCGGCAUGGUCUAUGCAUCUAUCGGCAUCUUCCAAUACUCGACUUCCCCCACAGAUUCCAAAGCAACAUCAAUCAAGUCGCGCACCUCCGAUCAACCAAAAGUCAAAACAAUCGGUACACAACUACAACAAAUCAAGACAACCGAUAAUCCGACAAGUUUGGAUUCGAAAAUGUGAUAUCUUUCCUUGUCUUAAGUCUUUAAUUUGUGUUUGACUUUAUGUUUUGCUAUGAUCGGUUUUAGUGCAUAUCUAUUGAUCAUUGCAUUACAUGUGCUUCGGAUUUUUUCUGGAUCAUUUCGUGAUUAAACAUUAAACAGUGUGUUGAACGUCGAUAAUUUACAUUCAUUCAUUUUGAAUUAAUUUCAUAUUAAUUAUCGGUUUCACUUUAUUAUCACUAUUUAUGAAGAUAAUUUAUAAUAGAAUAUCUUAAUUCUUAUAUUCAUCAAAUUUAAGUAAUCAUGUAUGAUCUUUCGGCACUUAACCUAUCUCGGUUGUGUGUGUUGAAUUUGAUGAAUGAAAAUUUGCUAAUCAACUAAAACUUGUCAAAUUUUCUUUCAUAUAAGAGAUUGCAUAAUUAAGGGGGUGUCAUUUAAUUUUUUUAAAAAAAAGGAGGAAAAGAAGGAAACACUCUAAGUGAUUAAAGUUCAAGUACUUAAAAGAUGUGGAAAGAGUUACAUCUUGAAGGGAGUGUGAAAACUACCACCACAUGUAGGAAAGAGCUACCACCCCGGUCGUCCGGUAAGUGUGUGAAGCUACCACAUGGGAAUUGAUUGAAUAACCGAAAAGGUUGAAAUAUUCAUAUUAUAUAAAAAAAAUUUUCGGUGUAAUAAGGUGGUUUAGUAAAAAGAUGCUUAAAGAGCCACUUCUGGUACAUUAUUGCUUGAUAUAGAAUUUGAACACUUAUGCGACAAAUUUUUAUCAUUUAUUGAAUUUUCAUAAGUCAUCUUUAGAAUCCGUUACAUCUUGAUAGAUUUUGAGCCUUUAGAUUAUUUUUGAUGACUUGAUUUUGAAGUAUAUAUGAGUAAAGAAAUUUUAUUAUAUUUUAUCUACAUCUUGGUGCUCUUGUAGUGAAAUUCUUAUUUUCUAUGAAAUUGAUGUGGAUUGAAAAAAAUCUAUGUGAAUUUAUUAUGUUCAUGCACUGACAAUUGAUUAACUCUCUCAUUUUUGGUACUUUCUUUUUGCAAUUUUUGACAAAAAGGGGGAGAGCGUGGAUGAUUUUGUGGAUGAUUUUCGAGUUUGAAUUUCAAUCUUUUGAUGCAUGAACAAAGGGGGAGAUAUUUUCAUUUUCAUAUUUUUUUUACUACUAACUUUGUUUGUUAACUUUGUUCGUGGAGAAAGUAAUCUUUUUGCAGAUCAUUGAAAACUUCAAGACUCCUAGUUGUGUCUAAGUCAUAGAGUUUGUGUAAGAGUUGCAAAAUUACAAUUUUGUAUUUGUUUGGAUCUUUCACGCGAGAAGUUCAUUGAUUUGGUGAUGUCAAUGAAUUUCAUUUUUGAGAGGUGAGCGUUGUGAGUAUUUUGAUGUAAUUUUGAGUUUUGUCACGAAAUUGCCAAAGGGGGAGAUUGUUACGGAUUUUAUGUUGGCAUAUUUCGUGAAGUUAGUCCGGAGUCUUGAAGGUUUAAAGAAGGAGAGAUGAAGAUCGAAGACUCGAUGACUCAAAACAUAAAUCCACAAUGCUCGUAAGUUAAAAUACUAUUGAUGAUGAUUUAUAAACAUUAACAAGUGUUUGGAAGACUUAGGAUGGGUUUUAAAAUGAAUUGGACUAAACUGAACUUGUCAAGGUUCAGGGACUGGUCCUUGAUCAGAGGGACCGAACCCUGAAGGUUCUCUCUGCGUAAAGAAACUGUCACGCCCCGGGGUCCAUUUUUGUUUGAAAACACAACGGAAAUAGCUAGAUUUUUUUUUUUUUGAAAGACCUGACCCCAGGGUAUGCCAGAUCCGCCAUAUAUACAGAGAGUUCACUAAUCACACGGACAGAGUCUCCCCUGUAUUUGCACGGCGUCGCACAAGUACAAUAAGUAAACUGAAUACAACCACAACUAAAUGAAUAUAGAAACAAUUAUACAAUCAUUCAUUCACCAUUCACAUCACAAUUAUACAUUCAAUGUUUAACAUAAAUCUACACCUAUCAGUUAAAAACGUUUUCAACCCAGAAACAGGUUUUGAAAUGCUAAGAUACAAAAUCCACAGAAAACCUUUUAAAAACUGUUCCCUACACGGGAACUUUUAUCUUUUAGAAACGCUACCACGAGGGGUAGAAAAUCAUUCAACAUUUGAAAUCCACAAAUCCUUUUUAUUACAUCAUAAAUCCAACUGAAAAUUCAGAUAUUCAACUACUAUAACAAAAACUGAACUAUAAUAUGUCUAAGUUAUUUAUUCAAGCAUGAAGGGUAAAGAAAUAACCGACACGGGACGGAGCUCUAUCGUACGCUAGAAAUGCUCCUCACCAGCUGUCCCACUUGGACCUGCGACGUCACCUGUAAUGGGGGCGGGGGGGUGAGAACAUGUAAACAUAUCUCCCUCUCCUUCCAGUGGGUACCGCAAGCCGACGAGGGCGAGGGGUACUCACUAGUCAGGAGAUAAACAAGGAUAUGAAUAAUGGUAAUACAGUAGCUAAGAUAAACAAGUAAUGAAAUGUGUAUAGAUAAACCACUACAGGUACUGUAUGCGUGCAUCAAAUCAGUCCAAAAGUACCCAAUAUGAAACCAAUGCUCUCUUGGUCCGCACCGCAAACCUCAAGCCAGUGCCACUACUACUCUACCAUGCAUAUAACCCCUCUAGGGCUCACGGAUUGACAACUGCAACCAUUUUUCCGGAAAAGAACACCCCUUGCGGUGGAUCAGACCGCCAGUGUUCGUGAAAUGCGACGAGUAUCGGGCGAUCAAUGCAAUAUGCUCAAUGAUCAACCGUCGGCAACUAGCCGACAAUCCUGCCCCCCAGGGCACACCAGCCAUAUGGGUCAUCAUGUAAUCAAAUCAACCAACCAGGUCACAAGUAUAGGAGAUGCAAUGUCCACAAGUAUAGGAGAUGCAACGUCGACCAACCAGGUCAUGGAGAUCACAUAGGAGAAUAGACCAACCAAAUCAUAGAUGCAAAUAGGAGAACCGACCAACCAGGUCACAGAUGCAAAUAGGAGAACCGACCGACCAGGUCACAAAUAUCAUAUACAGAUAAAGUUUACUAUACUCCUACACAUGAUACUACAUCUGGCAACAACUAAGUAGAGUAAAUAAGGAAAUAGCAUGGGUGUAAGGCUCAACAUGUAUAAGGUAAAUGAUAUACACAACAAGGGUAAAGGAAACGUCACCGAGCGUGCACCACUGUACCGACGUCGGAACGAAGUACCCACCUGUAUGUGUCUGACGAAAAUCUCUCGACUGUGAAGACGGUGCAACCGAACCUACGAAAGGUCCACCGGGUUAGAACCUAACCCACUAACACAUAUCGCUAACUCACAAUCCCACAAUCAUAGCCCUUCGGGAAUCGGUUUUCCAAAACCGAUUGCCGAACUCACCAGAAGUCACAAAAAAACUGCACCGGGACUCCGCCGGGACCCACGAACCGUCCCAAAACUACCCAACUCAUCAUAUGAGUUGCUCGCUGCCGCUAAACACCUAUUUUAGUGUGACAAGGCAGCAAAGACGCUAACUCGAUGCGGAACGAUUAUCGUCGGAUAAUCGUUUCGAUUCGGGUUCCCGGAAAUGUCUAUUUCGACACCGGAACCCGCCGUCGCUCACUCGUCGUUUCUGAACCCUCGAAACGACACGGGUGACAAGCCAACAAGGCUCAGCGACACUACAAUCAACCACGAGGCACUGUCGGAUGAAUUUCGAAUCGAAAACGCGUUCUAUCAGCGGAUUUCGCCGAAAAACGCUCCAGAAAUCACUUUUCGAUUUUCGCAAAAGCUUGGGGCCUUGGACGAUCAGUCCAGAGGUUAUCCUCAGCCUACCCUUGCUGCCAACAUCAUCUACAUCGAAGCAAAAACCCUAAAAGCCCUUACCGAUACGUGAAAUCACAUCAUUUUAUGUGAUUUCUAGGCUUUUCUGGACCGUGCACGCAAACCAGAGAUCGAUUCAGCAAACCGUCGCGCUCGCUGAUAGGUUUCAGCGUGCCAGAGGCCGUGCUCACCUUUCGGAGAACUGCCGGCCACUAUGGCACGCGCACGAGCGACACGAAACUCAGUGAAACAGCGCGCACAGCGCUAAGAUUGCCAUUAAUGCACAAUCCAGGGCAUCUCUGUCCCUGUUGGAGGUGAGCAAGAUGUUCAGCACGUGUUGUAGAUCAUCGUGCUCACUUCCCUAGGUCUAGAAGGCUUAACGGAUCACCGAAAAGGUGACCGAAAUCUCAGACUUUAGUGCUGGAACAUAAAACAGCCUUACCAGAACCGGGGAGAGCUAGGGUUGGUCGCCGACGGUCGGACGGCGGGCGGUCCAGCUAGGGGAGGGCGCGGCCGGUAGGUGAGUUCCGGGGCACUCGUUGGCCGGUGGCUGGAGGCGGCCGGUGGCGCGGCGGCGGAGAUCAACUCCCUAAGGCUGCUCACGGGUUCAAGGGCGCCGACAGCAAGGCGGCGGCCGAAGGAGCUUGGGGCGGCGACGAUUCGACGCCGGAGGCCGAGGGAGAGGCGGUGCACCCUUCGUUGGACGGCGGCGGCGCUUGGAAGUCGAGCGGACUCGACCUCGGUCCGCACCAACCCAGGACGGCCGCAAGCUGCACAAGCGGCGGCCGGCGGUCCACGGGGAUGGCCGGGAUGGCGAGCAGGAGGUCGCCGGAGGUGCGGGGAUAGCGCUGGGGAUGGGCCUGUGCCAGGGGAUGUUGAAGCUCGGGCUUUGAUGCCUUCCCGAGCACAACAGCUGAGCUGGUGGCGAGGUGGGUCUAACGAGGAGUUGAGGGGAGGCCGGGGUGGCUUUUCCGGCGGCCGGAGCUGCUCGUCGGCGGUCCCGAUGUGCGAAUUGGCAGGGCAUGGUGUAGGUAGGGCAGCUAGGGUUAGCUAGGUGAACGUGGGCAGCCAAAGAACCAUGAAAAACCCUAGAUGUUACUUUUAUACAAGGUGUCAUUUUGCGAGGAACCCCUUCAAAGUCAAAUAAUUAUAAUCCUGCCCCUGCCCGCAUGUGUAACUUGCAUGCCAGCCCAUCAACAUUCGAAAUCUCGUGAAACAGCGCAUAAAAUAUAGGGUCUUUUCGCGAUUAAUCGAUUUUGCCAAAUUGACCUCUCAGCGGACUUUUCACAAUUUCCGAAGAUCCGCCCGUCGGAUUUCCGAACGGAUUGCGCCAGCGCGUUCAGAAUGACUGGGGCAUCGAAUCUAGCAUCUUACUUUGUCCGAUUUGGUUUUCGAUUUGCGUCAAAACCAUCCCUCUUUUGUUUUCACUAUGUAGCCACUUAUAUUACUACACGUGAAACCAAUCAAACCCCUUUUUUCUCGACAACCGUGCAUCAGAAUCCAAUUUCGUCAGUGCCAUUGGGUCCAGAAUGGUCGAACCGUUCGAAACGAGCUAUUGGAGCACUAUGAUCGGAGUCCAAUGUGCACCAGAACCGUCUUCUACUCACUGGCUUCGCCGGGAAGCCAGAGUUACUAUUCACUCUAAGUUAUCGGUUCAGGUUGCAUAACUUCUCCAUCUUAACUCGUUUUCACCUGAAAUUUGACAAGUGCUUAUGUAAUUAUAUUACACAUAAAAAUAUUGUCAACAAAGGGUUUAAUUUUUAUUACUAAAAAUCUCGGUUAUUACAUCAUUCCCCCCUUACAAGAAGUUUCGUCCCCGAAACUUAAAUCAAGGAUCCCCCGUGAAUAGCUGCGGAUAACUCUCCCGCAUAGAAGACUCAAGCUCCCAUGUAGCCUCGCGCUCCUCGUGAUUUGCCCACUGAACUUUUACAUACGGAAUGCUCCUGUUCCGUAAUUGCUUCACUUCACGUGCCAAAAUCCCCAAUGGAGCCUCAUCAUAGCUCAGAUCCUCCCGUAGCUGAAUAGAUGUCGGACUAAUGAUGUGAGACGGAUCUGGAAUGUAUUUCCGCAACAUGGACACAUGAAAGACAUUGUUCACCCGGGUGAGACUUGGAGGAAGAGCCAAUCUGUACGCUACCGGACCGAUGCGCUCCAGGAUCUCAAACGGUCCCACGAACCGCGGACUUAGCUUGUUCCGCAAACCGAACCGCUUGAUCCUCUUGGAUGGCGACACCUUGAGCAACACAUGCUCACCGACCUGAAACUCCAGGUCACGCCUCUGCUGAUCCGCGUAUCUCCUCUGUCGACUCUGUGCAGUCAGAAGCCGCUCUCUCGCAAUGCGGAUCUUCGCCAACGCAUCCUCCACUAAGUCUGGCCCGAUCAACCGACGUUCUCCGACGUCGUCCCAACAGAUAGGAGACCGACAUCGACGCCCAUAUAAAGCCUCGUACGGUGCCAUCCCGAUGCUCGCCUGGUAGCUGUUAUUAUAGGAGAACUCCACCAACGGUAGAUAUCGGAACCAUCCAUCACCGUAAUCCAGGAUACAUGCGCGGAGCAUGUCCUCAAGAGUCUGGAUGACUCGCUCUGACUGUCCGUCGCUCUGGGGAUGGAAUGCCGUACUGAAGUUCAACUUCAUACCCAUAACCUAUUGCAAGCUCCUCCAGAAGUGGGAAACAAAGCGAGUGUCCCGAUCAGACACAAUCGACACUGGCACACCAUGAAGCCGAACAAACUCGUCAAUGUAUAACUGUGCUAGUCGAUCACGGGACCACGUUGUAUGCAUCGGCAAGAAGUGAGCCAAUUUCGUCAGCCGAUCAACUAUAACCCAGAUCACAUCAUGGCCUCGCUGUGAUCGAGGCAAUCCGGUGACGAAAUCCAUAGUGAUCUGCUCCCACUUCCAUACGGGGAUCGGAAGUGGUUGCAGCUUUCCUGCUGGUCGCUAAUGCUUAGCUUUCACCUGCUGACAAAUCAAGCACCGAGCCACGUGCUGAGCCACAUCAAGCUUCAUCCCAGGCCACUAGAAAUUCUGCUUCAGGUCGCGGUACAUCUUGGUUCCUCCUGGGUGAACUGUGUAAGGGGAUCGGUGCGCCUCGGAUAGGAUGUCGUUCCUCAGCUCCGAGUCAUUGGGCACACACCAUCUGCCUUUAAAGCGCAGAGAUCCAUCAGUGUGGAUAUUGAAGUCCCCGUCCUUACCCUGCUCGACCUCCGCCCGCACUUUCUGUAAGUACGGGUCACUCUACUACCCAAGCAAAAUCCGCUCCGUCAAAGUAGGCUGUAUCACCAGAGUCAUCAAUUGGGCCGUGGCCCCGGUGGAAACAACCUUGAUCUCCAGACGGCGGAACUCCACGAGUCGAUCCUGGCUCGUGAUCAUAAUGGACAACGAAGCUGAAGGCUGUUUCCGGCUCAAGGCGUCCACCACCGCGUUCGCCUUUCCCGAAUGGUACUGGAUCGUGAGAUCGUAGUCCUUUAAGAGCUCGAGCCAACGUCUCUGCCUGAGGUUCAACUCCUUCUGUGUGAAAAGGUACUUCAGGCUCUGAUGAUCGGUGAAUACCUCGCAGUGUGCUCCAUAUAGAUAGUGCCUCCACAGCUUUAGGGCAAACAUUACCGCCGCGAGCUCUAGAUCGUGAGUCGGAUAGUUCUUUUCAUACGACUUUAGCUGUUGAGAUGCGUAAGCGAUGACCCGAUCCUGCUGCAUAAGCACGCACCCCAGACCGACCCAGGAGGCGUCACAAUAGACCACAAAAUCCUCACCAGGUCGCGGCAGAGUAAGAACGGGUGCGCGGGUCAAUCGAUCCUUCAGCUCAUCAAAGCUCUGCUGGCACUGCUCGGUCCACUGAAACCGUUCUCCUUUUCUGGUAAGCUUGUUUAGCGGUGCGGCGAUCUUGGAGAAGCCCUCAACGAAUCGCCGAUAAUAACCCGCCAAACCCAGAAAGCUCCGGACUUCAGUCACCGAAGUCGGUUCAGGCCACUCGACCACUGAGGCUAUCUUCUUUGGAUCCACCGUAAUGCCCGAUGGAGUCACAAUAUGCCCUAAGAAAGAUACCUCGCGGAGCCAGAACUCGUACUUCUUGAGCUUACCAUAUAGCUUGUGCUCUCGAAGUAUCUGCAGUACUCGUCGGAGAUGAUCCUUGUGCUCCUCAUCACUCCGCGAGUAAAUCAGGAUGUCGUCAAUGAAGACCACGACAAACUGAUCCAAGUAUGCCCGAAAGACCCUAUUCAUCAUAUCCAUGAAAGCUACCGGGGCAUUGGUGAGCCCAAACGGCAUCACCGUGAACUCGUAGUGGCCGUAUCGAGUUCUAAAGGCGGUCUUCGACACAUCCUCAUCCCGGAUCUUAAGCUGAUGGUACCCGGACUGUAGGUCGAUCUUCGAAUACACCGAUGAUCCAUGAAGCUGAUCGAAGAGAUCCUCAAUCCGGGGUAGUGGAUACUUGUUCUUCACAGUGACCUUAUUAAGCUCCCGGUAGUCGAUGCACAGUCGAAGACUACCAUCCUUCUUUUUGACAAAGAGGACUGGGGCACCCCCAAGGAGACACGCUAGGGCGGAUAAACCCUCUCUCCAGAAGAUCCUCAAGUUGAGCCUUCAACUCUUUCAGCUCAGCGAAGGCCAUGCGAUAGGGGGCCUUCGAGAUCGGUGCCGUGCCUGGAACUAGCUCGAUGAAGAAGUCGAUCUCCCGGUCCGGAGGCAUUCCCGGAAGCUCAUCUGGAAAGACAUCCGGGAAUUCCUGAACAACUAGAAUAUCCUCCAAUGGUGGUGCAGCUCGGUGGGUGACAUCUACUGAAGCCAGGUAGGCUACACAUCCCGCAUUCAUAAGCCUCUUUGCUCUAGCUGAAGAGAUAGACGCGGCAAAAUAGGAGCUCUUACAUGCUCGGUAUACGAAUACUUCUUCGCCGGGCCCGAUAAAUGUCACCGUCCUCCGCUCGCAGUCGAUGGUAGCGUGGUGCCUGGUAAACCAGUCCAUCCCAAUCACCACGUCGAACUUCUUCAUGGGAAGUACCACCAGGUUCGCCAGGAAGCUCCGAUUAUCCAAAAUGACAGGGUACGAUAGGAUGCACCGAUCAGCUAAUAGGUCACCUCCAGGCGUGUCAAUACGGAGCGGCACGUCUAGUGGACGCGAGGAAAUACCAUGCUCACAUGCAAAUGAAUGCGAAAUGAAUAAGUGCGAUGCUCCAUUAUCGAAUAUAGCUCUAGCACGAGUAAUGCAGAGGGUAACAAUACCUGCAAGGACGUCACCAUCAUUGUUGCCUUCGUGCGCGCCCCCUCGUUUUGGCGUGAGGAGGAGGGACGCCUAAACGAAGCAGCUGCGCUUGGAGCUCAACGGUUCUGUCGGGAUGCAGCUGGGGAGGAGGCAGCACUCUGAUUAGCCACAUUUCUCUUAGGGCAAUGUGCUUGCAGGUGGCCCGGCUGACCACAAUGGAAACAGUUGUCCCUCCUCUGCGGACAGUCGGUCACCCGGUGUGCUUGCCCACAAAUCACACGGGGUUGACCGCCCCGUCGCUGACUGCCGGAGGGUGCACUCUUCGCCGACUGCUGAGUGCGAGGAUGCUUCGGUGGCUUUUUGCUGAAAGAAGAGCCACUGCUAGACUUAGAAUGGGAACGCUUCCUGUCCCCUGAUCGCUAGGAUGCAUCGCGAUCAGCUCGCAUCUCCUCUGACUCGCUCUGCACUAUAAGAGCCCGGUCGAAAGACUCGUCGAAGGGUAUCAUGCCAUUGGACGCGACCAAGAGCCGAAUGUUGGGCCUCAGCCCCCUGAUAAAAAGCUUGGCCUUGUGGUACUCGUCCCGCACCGCGAAGGGAAUCAGCCCGACGAUGCAGCUGAAAUCUCGCUCGUACUCCGCCACAGUACGGUUACCCUGCUUAAGGCGCUCCAGCUCGCGCUCCAAGUUCUGCUUCGUACUGUCCUUGAAGUACUGCUCAUUUAGGAGUCUCCGAAACUCAUCCUAGGGUGGAUAGAUGCUUGAGAGCUUGUUCACGAAGUGGCGGAUCCACCAUGCAUACGCAUCCCUCUCAAGGCAAUGAGCGGCCAGAGGAACGCGAUCCUGCUCCUCAAUAUGGAGAUCGCGAAAUAGUUUCUCCAUGUGGGUGGCCCAGUGCUCGAUCACCCAUGCAUCGUCAUUCUUCCUAGCGAACUUAGGCGGAUCGAACUUUCUAAACUGGACCAACUUCGCACGCAUGUGAUCGCCCUCCACUGCAGAGGUAUUAGCACCCCCAGCGAAAACCGUCGUGGUAGUCGUCGUCGUCGUCGUGCCAGUCGGAGCUGUAGCCGGUGGAGGUAUCAUCGAGUGUCCGCAGUAACUGGAGCCGGCUGUGUCGGAGGUGGAGCCGGGGGAGCAGCAGCUGCAGUCUGCUGCUGUAUAAACUACUGGAACAUCCCCGAGAGGGCCGUCAGCUGACCCCUCAUCGCUGCUACCUCGGCCUCAAGCUGCUAGGUACGCGCAUCACCCAACUGCUCGGGGCCGACCUGCUUCCCUCCACCCCUGCCCCUCGGGACACGCCCUCCAGGACUGUUCGAUGCCCCCUCAGUGGCGCAUCCACCGCCACGACCCCGACGAGGAGGUCUACCAGGACCACGAGCCAUCUGCAACAGAAAACACCGUCAGCCGAAUAAUCGACUUCGACUACUACCAACCAGGACUCGAGCCCAAACCCCGCACUCACAUGCUUAUACAUCGUAGGUCUUCCUAAAGGUCAACCUAACCAAUGGUUCAGUUUAUUUUUAUUUUCAAAAUAACCUGUGAAUGGUGUUGUGGUUGUAACUUGGCUCUGAUACCACUUUAAUCUGUAACGCCCCGGGGUCCAUUUUUGUUUGAAAACACAGCGGAAAUAGCUAAAUUUUUUUUUUUUUUUAAAGACCUGACUCUAGGGUAUGCCAGAUCCGCCACAAAUACAGAGAGUUCACAGAUCACACGGACAGAGUCUCCCCUAUAUUUGCACGGUGUCGCACAAGUACAACAAGUAAACUGGAUACAACCACAACUAAAUGAACAUAGAAACAACUAUACAAUCAUUCAUUCACUAUUCACAUCACAAUUAUACAUUCAAUAUUUAACAUAAAUCUACAUCUAUCAGUUAAAAACGUUUUCAACCCAGAAACAGGUUUUGAAAUACUAAGAUACAAAAUCCACAGAAAACCUUCUAAAAACUCUUCCCUACACUGAAACUUUUAUCUUUUAGAAACGCUACCACGAGGGGUAGAAAACCAUUUCCAUUUCAAGAAAACACAAAUUCCUUUAUUGCAUUCCAAAACCAACUGAAAACUCAGAUAUUCAACUACUAUAACAAAAACUGAACCAUAAUAUGUCUAAGUUGUUUAUUCAAGCAUAAAGGGUAAAGAAAUAACUGACACGGGAUGGAGCUCUAUCGUACGCUAGACACGCUCCUCACCAGCUGUCCCACUCGGACUUGCGACGUCACCUGUAAUGGGGGCAGGGGGGUUGAGAACAUGUAAACAUGCCUCCCCUCCCUGUGGGUACCGCAAGCCGACGAGGGCGAGGGGUACUCACUAGUCACGGAGAUAAACAAGGAUAUGGAUAAUGGAAGUACAAUAGAUAAGAUAAACAAGUAAUGAAAUGUGUAUAGAUAAACCACUACAGCUACUGUAUGCAUGCAUCAACGGGACAAUCAGUCCAAAAGUACCCAAUUUGAAACCAAUGUUCUCUUGGUCCGCACCGCAAACCUCAAGCCAGUGCCACUACUACUCUACCAUGCAUAUAACCCCUCUAGGGCUCACGGGGUGACACCUGCAACCACUUUUUCGGAAAAGAACACCCCUUGCGGUGGAUCAGACCGCCAGUGUUCGUGAAAUGCGACGAGUAUAGGGCGAUCAAUGCAAUAUGCUCAAUGAUCAACCGUCGGCAACCAGUCGACAAUCCUGCCCCCCAGGGCAUACCAACCACAUGGGUCAUCAUGUAAUCAAAUCAACCAACCAGGUCACAAGUAUAGGAGAUGCAAUGUCCACAAGUAUAGGAGAUGCAACGUCGACCAACCAGGUCAUGGAGAUCACAUAGGAGAACAGACCAACCAAAUCAUAGAUGCAAAUAGGAGAACCGACCAACCAGGUCACAGAUGCAAAUAGGAGAACCGACCGACCAGGUCACAGAUAUCAUAUACAGAUAAAGUCUACUAUACUCCUACACAUGAUACUACACCUGGCAACAACUAAGUAGAGUAAAUAAAGAAAUAGCAUGGGUGCAAGGCUCAACAUGUAUACGGUAAAUGAUAUAAACAACAAGGGUAAAGGAAACGUCACCGAGCGUGCACCACUGUACCGUCGUCGGAUGGAAGUACCCACCUGUACGUGUCUGACGAAAAUCUCUCCACUGUGAAGACGGUGCAACCGAACCUACGAAAGGUCCACCGGGUUAGAACCUAACCCACUAACACAUAUCGCUAACUCACAAUCCCACAAUCAUAGCCCUUUGGGAAUCGGUUUUCCAAAAUCGAUUGCCGAACUCACCAGAAGUCACAAAAAAACUGCACCGGGACUCCGCCGGGACCCACGAACCGUCCCGGAACUAUCCAACUCAUCAUAUGAGUUGCUCGCUGCUACUAAACACCUAUUUUAGUGUGACAAGGCAGCAAAGACGCUAACUCGAUGCGGAACGAUUAUCGUCGGAUAAUCGUUCCGAUUCGGGUUCCCGGAAGUGUCUAUUUUGACACCGGAACCAGCCGUCGCUCACCCGUCAUUUCUGAACUCCCGAAAUGACACGGGUGACAAGCCAACAAGGCUCAGCGACACUACAAUCAACCACGAGGCACUGUCGGAUGAAUUUCGAAUCGAAAACGCGUUCUAUCGGCGGAUUUCGCCGAAAAAUGCUCCGAAAAUCACUUUUUGAUUUUCGCAAAAGCUUGGGGCCUUGGACGAUCAGUCCAGAGGUUAUCCUCAGCCUACCCUUGCUGCCAACAGCAUCUACAUCGAAGCAAAAACCCUAAAAGCCCUUACCGAUACGUGAAAUCACAUCAUUUUAUGUGAUUUCUAGGCUUUUCUAGACCGUGCACGCAAACCAGAGAUAGAUUCGGCAAACCGUCGCGCUCGCUGAUAGGUUUCAGCGUGCCGAAGGCCGUGCUCACCUUUCGGAGAACUGUCGGCCACUGUGGCACGCGCACGAGCGACACGAAACUCAGUGAAACAGCGCGCACAGCGCUAAGAUUGCCAUUAAUGCACAAUCCAGGGCAUCUCUGUCCCUGUCAGAGGUGAGCAAGAUGUUCAGCACGUGUUGUAGAUCAUCGUGCUCACUUCCCGAGGUCUAGAAGGCUUAACGGAUCACCGGAAAGGUGACCGGAAUCUCAGAAUUCAGUGCUGGAACAUAAAACAGCCUUACCGGAACCGGGGAGAGCUAGGGUUGGUCGCCGGCGGCCGGACGACGGGCGGUCCAGCUAGGGGAGGGCGUGGCCGGUAGGUGAGGUCUGGGGCAACCGCUGGCCGGUGGCUGGAGGCGGCCAGUGGCGCGGCGGCGUAGAUCAACUCCCUAAGGCUGCUCACCGGUUCAAGGGCGCUGGCAGCAAGGCGGCGGCCGGAGAAGCUUGGGGCGGCGACGAUUCGACGCCGGAGGCCGAGGGAGAGGCGGUGCACCCUUCGUUGGACGGCGACGGCGCUUGGAAGUCGAGCGGACUCGACCUCGGCCCGCACCAACCCAGGGCGGCCGCAAGGUGCACAAGCGGCGGCCGGCGGUCCACGGGGAUGGCUGGGAUGGCGAGCGGGAGGUCGCCGGAUGUAAGGUACCAGACUUCUAAAACUAUGAAGUUACGAUAUACAUUUAAAUGGUUCCGGUGAGGUUGCGGUGGAAUGUAACAUACUGAAUUUUAAAUGUAAAAGUGAAAAUAAAUAAAAAUAGUAUGAGAUACUAUUUUUAUUGGAUUUAGAAAAGUGAAAUGUAGGUUGGGAAUGACCUGUGCUGAAAUCGGAGCGAAAACAGAGGAUUUAGAAUUUUCUGUGUGAAACGAGGCAGAUAAAUUAGCAGAAAAUGCAGUGUCAGAAAAUUCUGAAAACUGGAGGAUAAGCCAGAAUUAUUUUUAUGAGGCUAGAUUUAAUGUUUCAUAUCAUUCUGACAUCCGGAAGGUGGAAAAUAAAAUCCGAUAGUGAUCUGAUAAAGAUUACAGUUCGGUACAGCUUUCAGUGACCAAAUGGGGUCGAAACUGAAAGAUUAAAAUUUCUUUCGUUAAGUUAAGCAAAACCGAACAUGACUGUCAAAUUUGAGCUCAAACGGAUAUUCAGGGAGCUCCGGCGAAAGAUAUCAGAUUUUGAGCUGCCUGAUGUGAAUAGUGUAUGCUACUAUUGAGGUGUUGACUAUAAGUAGAAGCUACUAGGCUUCUUCUUCCUCCUCAGCUGCAGCCAGCACAAGCAUCACACGCACAUGGUGAAGGAGAGAGAAACCCUCUCUUUCUCUCUCUAAAUAUCUCUCUCAUCUCUCUAGAUCUUUCGCCCAAAUUCGCGGCGUUGGCGGAGAACGAGCUUGCGAACGCGUUGGGAGCGACGGAUUGAGCUUUCGUGCACCCGUUGGAGCGGCGUGCUUCCGUCUCGGCGUUCACAUUUUGGUAAACUUUUGGGAUUUGGCUGAAUCCUUAACCUUAAGUAUUCUAGUAGUCUCUAAUGAGCAUUCUUAGCAUGUUGCUCUAUUUAAUUUGGAUUAUUUGGAAGUAAUUGCAUGUUAGGGCUCAAAAAUGGGAUUUUGCAAUAUGUGAGGGUUUGAUCUAAAUUGAUCAUGUAUAAACCUAAUUGCUAGGUUUUCUGACGCGUUGGCGAAGUCGGUUCGGCGAUACGACGAGCGUACGCGAAGAUAUUAAAGAACGAAGCCGUUAAGGUACAGAUUGCCGCAGCUCGCGGCGAAAGCUUCCAAAAAUCACGAAAUCGGAACCCUAGCCUCGUGAUAGCGAUAAAAGGUGGGGGGUGUCCAUCCCGAAGCAACCGGGCUUCCUUCUAUGUCUAAGUUAAAUGUAUUGAUCAUAUAUCAACAUUAUGCAUUAUAGGAUGUGUAGAUGGUUGCAUUUCCAUUUCCUUGCAUGCUUCUUAGUAGUGUAGCAUUGUGAGCUUGACACAUGGACUAGGGAUGCAUGAGGAUUGGGUCUUGUGACAUGGAAUCCUAUAGUGGCAUAAAGAUAAACUUGGAUAUGUAAAUGGCCUAGAAGAGUGACAUUUGGACUAGUGUUAGUACUAUGCAUGAUAGGGUAUUGGAUAGUCGCAUUUCCAUUCUUGCAUGAUCCUGAGUAGUGUAGCAACAUGAGUUUGGCACUUGAGUUAGGAUGCAUGAGAAUAGAGGAGUUGUGACAUAGCACCCUACAGUGGUAAAGUUAAAUAAUGAACUUAAUCUUGUGUUGACAAGGAUUAGAGAACGAGUGGCAUCUAGACAAUGUUGACAACUUGACGAGUGGCAUGACAAGUACUGUAUAGAUGAAAAUACUUGUUGCAUGUUGAACAUAUAGAUGAAAUAGUUCCUAAGUGGAUGUUGACCCUAGUAGCAGGGUAUCCUCUUGUGACGAGGAUUUGAUCAUACUCACAUGUCUGUUCAGAGCUUGUAGGUGGUCGCUUCACACAAGCAGUGCACUCCGGAGUUGUCACACGAUAGGGAUAGCCUUAUGGGGUCCCGAGAGAUAGCCUUAUGGGGUCCCGCAGACGGUCUUGGGCGAGUGAGCAGAUCCUCCCCAAGUGAGUCGGGUGAGUGAGAUGAUCCUCACCUGUGAGAUUGAGGUUGGGUUGUGGUACCUGUGUUGAGUCGGGCGAGUGAGCAGAUCCUCCCCGUUGUGAUUAGAUCGUGAGUCGGGCGAGUGAGCGGAUUCUCUCCUUUGAGACUAGAUUGUGAGUUGGGUGAGUGAGCGGAUCCUCACCCUUGUUAUUGAGUAGAUUGCAUACUAUGUAGUUGUUCAUACAUUGGAUUAUUGAGGCAUAGAUCAUAUACUAUGUUGUAGCUCAUUCCAUUGGUUAUUGAAAGCAUAGUAGAAUGUUGCAUAUUACUUUACUAUGUUGCACUUCAAUUUUAUAUCUAUCUAUCUAUCUAUCUAUUUAUCUGCUUGUGCCUACUUGGACCUAGUGGGAAGAUCGGCGGAGUCGGCGGCCGAACCCACUGGGAACUAUAUUUAUAUAGUUCUUACCCCACUUUGUUGCAGGGCCUAGCGAGAGAGCACCGGCAGAGGACCGUGGUAAGGGCAUCGCGCCCUAGGUAUAGUUAGCAGCUUCCACUUGCAUUAGUGUACCCUUGUGUACCCCGUGACAUAUGAUGUAUUGAGGGAGCUUGCUUGUGUAUUUUGGAGAUUAUCAUGCAUAUUCAUUUUGGAGAUUAUCAUGUAAUCAAGGAUCUAAAUGUUGAAUGCCUUGUGGAUGUAAUAGCUAGAUGUUACUCUCUUUAUAUCACUCGUUUUAUUACUUGUGUCUUGCUCUUAAGUGUAUAGCACAUGUGGUGCUUCGUAUUGUUCAUGUAUGUUGUAUGUCAUCCUGGGCGACAAAAAUAUACAUGAGCUUGUUGUUGAGCCUAGGGCGGACAGGGAAGGUGCUGUCCGUUCGGCGUCUAUUCGACGCGCCCGAACCGGACCAAAUUGGUAGCGGCCUCGGGGCGUGACACCGGAGGUGCGAGGAGGGCGGCGCGGCCGGCGGGGAGCGGCGGCGGCGCGCGGAGGCAGAGAUCACCCAGACUCGGCCUGGGUGACUGCAGCUAGCCGUAGGGAGCUGGGGUGGCUCCGGCAGCGCGCGGGGACG